GAUGAACGCUGGCGGCGUGCUUAACACAUGCAAGUCGAACGGAGAAUUUAUUUCGGUAAAUUCUUAGUGGCGAACGGGUGAGUAACGCGUGGGCAACCUGCCCUUCAGAUGGGGACAACAUCCCGAAAGGGGUGCUAAUACCGAAUACGAUCACGCUGCCGCAUGGCGGUGUGAUGAAAGAUGGCCUCUAUUUAUAAGCUAUCGCUGAAGGAUGGGCCUGCGUCUGAUUAGCUAGUUGGUGGGGUAACGGCCGACCAAGGCGAUGAUCAGUAGCUGGUCUGACGGGAUGACGGGCCACAUUGGGACUGAAACACGGCCCCAACUCCUACGGGAGGCAGAAGUGGGGAAUAUUCCGCAAUGGACGAAAGUCUGACGGAGCAACGCCGCGUGAGUGAUGAAGGUUUUCGGACUGUAAAACUCUGUUGUUUAGGACGAAAGUGCCUGUUGCAAAUAGUUGCAGGUAUUGACGGUACUGAACGAGGAAGCCACGGCUAACUACGUGCCAGCAGCCGCCGUAA
RNAcentral lists this ribosomal RNA (518 nucleotides) under uncultured bacterium. RNAcentral's name for it is "partial 16S ribosomal RNA". It matches the Rfam family "Bacterial small subunit ribosomal RNA", at positions 28 to 523 of the family's 1533-position model. The record is from RNAcentral.